AAAAGGAAAAAAAAAAAAAAAAAAAAAAGCUCUAAGCCUAGCUCAGCAUCCACCCUUACACAGCUAACCCUGUCCACAAUCCUACCAGAAAUCCUAGGAUUACAGAGGAAAAUUACGCCGUCGUAUCUAAGGCAGACCGAAGUUCUAUUCUCCUGCUAUGCUAAACUGGAUCACUGGUGAGAUUGAAGCUACCAACAUUUGAGAGAUCUCAAAGAGACCCUGCACAACCAUUAAACCCUUGCUUCAACCCCAUCAAUAUUGAACCUUCUUCCUGAUCAAAUUAGAUCCAUUGCCAUAGCUAGGAAAGCGACGCAGUAGAGCUCUCGGUAUCUCAAUCUCAUAUAAUUUUCGGGACCAACUUCAGCAAUAGUGUAAGGCUAAUCCCGGAGAUACCAACAUCAACCCAUGCAAAUAUCUUCCCCGUCAAGAUGAUAGAAGCUUCAAAGCCCCAAGAACCACAAACAGAACUAGAGUUUUACAACCCAGCUCUUCUCAAAGCUUGAAAAUUGAUGCAGGUCUCCCGCACCAUGAAAGCUCCAUCAAGCUCAGAAACCAAAAUCGGAACCAACACUAUCUACACACCAAACUAGGAUGGGGAGGGACACCCAAACCCGAUCACCAGAAAAAAAAAAAAAAAAAAAAAAAACUCUACAUCUAUCUCUCUCUCUCUCUCUCUCUCUCUCUCUAUAUAUAUAUAUGCUCAACUUUACUCGAGAGACUAAAAUCGGAGAAGAGUUCAAGAGAAUAAUAUUUCGUGCA
RNAcentral lists this unclassified non-coding RNA (759 nucleotides) under Hevea brasiliensis (rubber tree). Lineage: Eukaryota; Viridiplantae; Streptophyta; Magnoliopsida; Malpighiales; Euphorbiaceae. The record is from RNAcentral.